GAAGGCCUUAGGGUUGUAAAGCUCUUUCGCCUGGGAUGAUAAUGACAGUACCUGGUAAAGAAACCCCGGCUAACUCCGUGCCAGCAGCCGCGGUAAUACGGAGGGGGUUAGCGUUGUUCGGAAUUACUGGGCGUAAAGCGCGCGUAGGCGGAUUGGAAAGUUGGGGGUGAAAUCCCGGGGCUCAACCCCGGAACUGCCUCCAAAACUCCCGGUCUUGAGUUCGAGAGAGGUGAGUGGAAUUCCGAGUGUAGAGGUGAAAUUCGUAGAUAUUCGGAAGAACACCAGUGGCGAAGGCGGCUCACUGGCUCGAUACUGACGCUGAGGUGCGAAAGUGUGGGGAGCAAACAGGAUUAGAUACCCUGGUAGUCCACACCGUAAACGAUGAAUGCCAGACGUCGGGCAGCAUGCUGUUCGGUGACACACCUAACGGAUUAAGCAUUCCGCCUGGGGAGUACGGUCGCAAGAUUAAAACUC
RNAcentral lists this ribosomal RNA (474 nucleotides) under uncultured bacterium. Its description in RNAcentral is "bacterial SSU rRNA". It matches the Rfam family "Bacterial small subunit ribosomal RNA", at positions 410 to 902 of the family's 1533-position model. The record is from RNAcentral.